Molecule: long non-coding RNA, 293 nt
Filed under: Mytilus galloprovincialis (Mediterranean mussel)
Lineage: Eukaryota; Metazoa; Mollusca; Bivalvia; Mytilida; Mytilidae
Source: RNAcentral
UUUGAUUUUAUUAUUUCCCUUGCGUAUUGUAAAUAAUCCCACAAACAUAUGUGGACUAAAACAUGAUUUGGGUCAAAUUUAUAUUUAUUUAACAUUGUUAUUCCUCGGAUUAAUACCUAUAUUUAUCGCAAUCUGUUGCAUUGCUUCGACAUAAUACGUUUGUAAGAUUGUAAAAUCAUUCAUCAAUCCGAAUAAUUCGCCGUUUCAGAAUCUAAUGCAUCCUGGGUAAUAUUUUCAAAAGUGUACACCAAAACGUCCUGAUUGGUUAAAAAUGUCAUAAACAAUGGAAAUUU